CCUACGGGAGGCAGCAGUGGGGAAUCUUGCGCAAUGGGCGAAAGCCUGGCGCAGCGACGCCGCGUGGGGGAAGAAGGCCUUCGGGUUGUAAACCUCUUUCAGCAGGGACGAAGCCACUCGGGUUAAUAGCCCAGAGGGUGACGGUACCUGCAGAAGAAGCCCCGGCUAACUACGUGCCAGCAGCCGCGGUAAUACGUAGGGGGCAAGCGUUGUCCGGAUUUAUUGGGCGUAAAGAGCGUGUAGGCGGCCAGACAAGUCCGUUGUGAAAACUAGAGGCUUAACCUCUAGACGUCGAUGGAAACUGUUUGGCUAGAGUCCGGAAGAGGAGAAUGGAAUUCCUGGUGUAGCGGUGAAAUGCGCAGAUAUCAGGAAGAACACCCGUGGCUAAGGCGGUUCUCUAGUACGGUACUGACGCUGAGACGCGAAAGCGUGGGGAGCGAACAGGAUUAGAUACCCUGGUAGUCCACGCCGUAAACGAUGGGUGCUAGGUGUGGGGGGUGUCGACUCCCUCCGUGCCGAAGCUAACGCAUUAAGCACCCCGCCUGGGGAGUACGGCCGCAAGGCUAAAACUCAAAGGAAUUGACGG
Molecule: ribosomal RNA, 586 nt
Filed under: uncultured bacterium
Lineage: Bacteria
Description: bacterial SSU rRNA
Rfam family: Bacterial small subunit ribosomal RNA
Source: RNAcentral